AGGAUGCUGGCUCUGAGGAUGUGUGAGGUGACUCUAUUUGGGCAGCAAGUCCCAGAAGCUGCAGUGGCUGUCACCGUGCGCGCGGGAGCUGGAAGGGGCGCGAGUCCCCCGGCGGAGGCGGCGAUGGGCGAGCGGGGACGGACGGCGCGGGCACCGGGAGCUCCUCGGGGAUGCGGGGCUGGAAAGUGGCUGCGAAGGGACCUGGGAUUUCUCUGCCCCCCCCUCUCCAUGCUCUGUCUUCGCUCUCCUUCCCCUCGCUGCCACCUGGGUGGCAUCGCGCGGCUCCAUCCAUCACUCUCCGGCGUCUCGAUCGCUCCUUGUGGGCUCACCCUCCGUGUGUCCAGGAGUCACUCGUCAACAACAAACAGUUAAAAGGAAGAAAAUAGGCUGGAAAUAUCAAUGCACUUUGGUAACAAUAAACCCUGCUUUUAAUUUAUGCUAAUAUGUAGGGUUGUGGUGACAGUAAGAACAAAAUUACAGAGUGGCUUUCUAGCUGGUAAUUAUCCCUCCAUUUUCGUUGCUCGGGAAGAUGGACACACAAUUAUGCUCUCUUGCUGUAUAUUAAUACGGAUUCUUGACAUCUUCAGCAGACCUGGAGCUGUCAUCGGGCUUUUUGUCUACUUUAAUUGAAAAUUAAUGGUUACUGUGUUACCACGGAAACCGUGGCAAUGGACGCCAAUAGCGCUCACAUAUCAAACAGGCACUGGUGGCAUUGUCUGUCCGUGUUGACCUUGAAAGUUAAAAGAAAAACUUAAAUAAAAAAAAAAAAGAGAGGGGUAGGAAAGAAGGGGAAAAAAAAAACCUUGAAAACCGAGGGGUGGAUACGGAAUCAAAGGAAGGGAAGAAGGGGGGAAAAAAGAGGGAUGCGAAGGAAAAACUUGGUGUCUCUUGUAUCUGGAAGGGGAGGAAAAAAAAAAGCCUCAAAGCAAGGAGUCGGAGAGCGCUGUGUGAGCGCAGCGGCCUCGUGAGCAGCUCUGGGGUCACCCCAGCUCGGUGUCCUCGAGCCAGGAGGAGCGCAGCCACCAGCGUGCAAGCAAGGUGUGAGCGUGGGGAUGGCCGUGCCAAGGAGCCCCUGGCAGGGGGAAGCUGGUGGGGGGGAGAAAAGAGACAGGGAAGGCAAGGAGGAGAAAUAGGUCGGAGAGAUGAGAGUCCGGGUUUGCUUGGAGUGGGAAUGCUGAACGGAGCAGAGGGUGGGCGCAGAGCGCUGCCUCUGUCUGGGUCAGGAGCAGGGUUGGAAAUGUGAUUUUGGGUACGUUCUGCUUUCCCUGGUGCCCACCUUUUGCUGUCUCCUCUCUCGCCUGGAUCACCAAGGGCUGCUCUGCGCCUUUGUUAGCGAAUAACGGAGGGGCAGGCUUCUCUUCGGGAGCUUGGGACUUCUGGGUCCCCUUCACACCUAAGUGAGCUGCCUAAUUGGCUUGGCUUUUCCUCCUCCUCUCUUGCUCUCCGUGAGCUUCCCAUGACCUGUGGGCCUGCUUUUAGCAGAAGCUGGAGCACGGGGAAAGGCAGCCACCGUGCUUCCAGUGCCCAGAUGAGAAACGGUGUGGAGGAUUGAAGCGGGAGCAGUUUCAUCAGGAAGUGGAACAGGGAAAUUUGGGAAACCCUGGGACAAGGCAGACAACCCUUGGGGCCCUGCAGCUGCUCGGUGCAUCCAUGGGUGGGAUGAUUUUGGGGCCAGCCAGGGCAGAGAUGCCCGCCUGGUACCUUCAUGCCCUCUGCAUCCUUGCUCCCUUGCCAACACCUCCGGAUGCGGUGCCAACGUGAACCCCAGCCCCUUUGGGAAGGUGAUCCAGGGCCUUUUAAAGCUGAGUACCACGGGAGCCCGUCCUCCUCCAGAGCAAACAAGAAGACAAACACAGCGGAGGCGUGCCUGAAAGCCGGAGUCUUUUUUCAUUUUCCCUGCAUCCCUGAUCCCAACCUUAAUCCCCGCACUGAAUCCUGUCAGCCCGGCUGUUCUCGCACUGACAUUGCUGCAGGCAUCUUCUCCGCUGCCUUCCCUCAGAUCUGCCUCCUCCUGGGACGUCUAAAGAGGACUCCGAGAUUUCUGUGUUACUGGAUGAUUCACUCCGUGCCCUCCAGCAAAGCGCUGGGGCUCCCCGGGGGAAGGAAGCAGGCGGAGGGGGGACGGGGGCUGCGGUGCCGAUGCCGUGCCGGCGAAUGCUCCGGCUGCGCACCGAGGCUCCGGGCAUCUCAGCGGGGUUGGGCAAAAACAAGAGCAAGGGGUGGGCAGGGACAGGGUGCUGCUGCUGGUGCCUGGGGUGGUGGAAGACAUACCCAUCACCCCAGACACCUUCAUCAUUUUGCUGUUAUGCCUUUAUGGUCAUGCUCCUUUCUGCUCCUGAUUUUGCCCAGCUCGCCAUCGAUCAGAGGCUAUGAACAUUUAGGGACAGGUGCA
This is a non-coding RNA of Anas platyrhynchos (mallard), 2392 nucleotides long. The record is from RefSeq and is a predicted model, not a curated record. Lineage: Eukaryota; Metazoa; Chordata; Aves; Anseriformes; Anatidae.